UGGGGAAUAUUGCACAAUGGGCGCAAGCCUGAUGCAGCCAUGCCGCGUGUGUGAAGAAGGCCUUCGGGUUGUAAAGCACUUUCAGCGGGGAGGAAGGCGUUAAGGUUAAUAACCUUGGCGAUUGACGUUACCCGCAGAAGAAGCACCGGCUAACUCCGUGCCAGCAGCCGCGGUAAUACGGAGGGUGCAAGCGUUAAUCGGAAUUACUGGGCGUAAAGCGCACGCAGGCGGUUUGUUAAGUCAGAUGUGAAAUCCCCGGGCUCAACCUGGGAACUGCAUCUGAUACUGGCAAGCUUGAGUCUUGUAGAGGGGGGUAGAAUUCCAUGUGUAGCGGUGAAAUGCGUAGAGAUGUGGAGGAAUACCGGUGGCGAAGGCGGCCCCCUGGACAAAGACUGACGCUCAGGUGCGAAAGCGUGGGGAGCAAACAGG
RNAcentral lists this ribosomal RNA (429 nucleotides) under Chloroflexota bacterium. Its description in RNAcentral is "Chloroflexi bacterium partial 16S ribosomal RNA". It matches the Rfam family "Bacterial small subunit ribosomal RNA", at positions 355 to 776 of the family's 1533-position model. The record is from RNAcentral. Lineage: Bacteria; Bacillati; Chloroflexota.